Chiloscyllium plagiosum (whitespotted bambooshark) is the source of this 905-nucleotide long non-coding RNA. RefSeq lists it as uncharacterized. The record is from RefSeq and is a predicted model, not a curated record. NCBI's taxonomy places the organism in Eukaryota, Metazoa, Chordata, Chondrichthyes, Orectolobiformes, Hemiscylliidae.
AUAUUGUGGUUUUGGAAGUUUUUUUUAAAGAAAAUACGGUUAAUGCAAUAUUAAUUGGUUGUGGCGGUAUAAGAAUGGGUGGUUUUUUUUGUCAACCAGAGAUCCACGGAGAUGGGACGUGAGCGAAGACAAAAAGCAAUGUCCCGCGUGUCAUUGUGUUUCUAAACAAAGCCUGAGAUUAUUAAAUAAAAUCUCUCAUGAACAGAAGAGUUCAUUGGGGAACAGACUUUGCCUAUAUCUGUUUGGAAACGGAGGAAGAAGAAUUCCUGCAAAGGAGAAAUGGCGCAAGCCGAAAAAGGCAACUUCACGGUCAAAGCAUGAAAUAAUGCGGAAUCUCAUUAAUAUAACUUCCAAUUCUCUUUGGUGAAUGUUACAUUCUCACGAGCACAUCAUUGCACUUGAUCGUUUCCGGCCGAGACUAUGACCACCACUGAAUGACAGAUGGUAAGAUUUCAAGCAACAAGACAUUGAGUCAGAAUAUAAAUUAACCGAAAAAUAAAGAUAAUAUGCUGAAGUAAUUCGAGGAAAUGCCACGUAAGGAAAUAGUUAAUGAAGAGAGGGGAAAGAAAGCAUUUAGAAAGAAUGAGAGACACGAAAAAGAGAAACUGAGGUUGGAAGUUGAAUAUGGGUGAGAAAAGAGAAGGGCAACAUGAGUUCCGUGAAAUUCAUAUGAACCAUUGCGUUUGAUUCCCGAAUAAAAGCUGUUCGCAUUUCUGUUCGCACUUGUUUCAUCACAACUGAGUAAAAAAAAGACUUGCAGUAACACAACUUCAAAUUCAAAGAUCAGAAGCUUUAGGUAUUUGCUUAAGAAUUUAAAUCUUUGACUUCCCAUCACUUUGAAUGUUGACUACAGCCAUAACUUAUGUUGUAGACAGGGUUCCUGGUGACUGGCACCGCGAAUGAAA